GUUGUGCUUUAGUACUCCUGCAAUUGACUUUUCUUCCGUGUUUCUGUCUUAGCUUUUGAGCCCAUGUAAAUGGCUGACACGUGGCAGAGAGCUCCAUAGCUUAACUGGAUUUGCAGAUGCAUAAAGACCUAUCUUCCUUCUCCUGCUCUGAACCCACCUCCAGCUGACUCCCGCUGAUGUCCUGCAGCUCUCAGAACAUUGCAAGAUUCAUCUACUGCAUUCCAUGGACUCCAAACUGGAAGCCAGGAUCUUAUCAUUUGGUUGAAAUCCCAGUAUUGCACAACUAUUGAGCCU
RNAcentral lists this long non-coding RNA (294 nucleotides) under Phasianus colchicus (ring-necked pheasant). RNAcentral describes it as "lncRNA (ENSPCLG00000004699.1)". The record is from RNAcentral. Lineage: Eukaryota; Metazoa; Chordata; Aves; Galliformes; Phasianidae.